Molecule: long non-coding RNA, 6238 nt
Filed under: Sus scrofa (pig)
Lineage: Eukaryota; Metazoa; Chordata; Mammalia; Artiodactyla; Suidae
Description: lncRNA (ENSSSCG00000053000.1)
Source: RNAcentral
UUUCUUUACAUCCCUCAGGAUGUCAAGUACAGAUUUCAUAGCAGGUCCUCAAUAAAUACAUGUGAAAUUGAGUGCAGGUGUGCUAACUGGGGAUUUUUUAAAAACAGCGUCUAAGCAGACCACCUGCAUCAGAAAUACCUGGGGUGCCUUUGGAAAAUGCCAGCCCCUAUGAAACCUUUUGAAUCAGUAUCUUUGGUGGAAACAGGGAAUCUAAAAUUUCAAUUAAGUUCCCCACUGAUCUCCCUGCACACUAUUGUUUUGGGAAUCAGUGGAGCUGAAGAUACAGAGCACAGGUUUAGAGAAUAAUUUACUACUUAAAAAAAAAAAACUUUAUAUCGAAGACAUUUAGUACACCGAAUAUGAAAAUAAAAGCAUUUUAACUCUUUAGGAGGGUAUUUCUUCAUAUUACAGCUGAAGCUACUUUAUAGGCACAUGAUAUUACAGAUAAGGUGGUUUCCCAAGACCUUCAGUGAGAUUUUUCCCAUCAUGUGUCUCUAAGUGAAGAAGUAAAACUACUAAUUGCUAACGAACUAUCCUCUUUUUGUCUAAUAGUGUUGAUUUUUGCUCUGGGUGACAACAGGCCUACAUUAAAAAAAAUAGGAAUCUGUCUUGGCUACUUUGCAGCAAGAAAUAUCCAGAAGUUACUCAGAAGGAUUGCUAGGAAAUGGUUUUUAAAGGCAUAUCUCUGUCCUUUCCUCUUGUCUUUUCUUCCUAUUUGGAAUGUAGACACAUUAGAAAGAGGUGAAGACAGCUACGUCCAGUGGUGGAGGAGGGAUAAAAAUGUGCCUGGGACAUGGAUAAUAAUGUGGAAUGUGUAUCAGAUUUCCGAUCACCGGAUUCAUUUUUACGUGAGAAAUAUAAACCCUCUUACUAGAUAAACCACCACAAUAGGAUUUAUAACCUUGCAUUCUUCAGAUAUCCCCAACUAAACAUUUGUAGUAGGCAGAAUAAUGUUUUCCCAAAGAUGUCUCCAUCCUAAUGUCUGGGUAUGUCACAUUACAUUGAGCUUGCAGACAGAAUUAAGGUCUAUGGUAAGCGUUUAUCCUGGAUUAUCUGAGUGGGACUAAAGGGGGAAGACGGAGGCAUAAGAAGCAGUGUCAAAGCAAGGGGAAGUGAGGAAAACAUGACUGGCCACUACCAGUUUUGAAGACAGAAAGGGGCCGAGUGCCAAAGAGUGUAGGUGGCCUCUAGAAGCUGGAAAUGAUAAGAAAUAGAUUUUCUCUGAUAGUCUCUCAAAGGAACAGAGUCCAGUUGAUUCUGGCAUAGAGAGACUCAUUUCAGAUCUCUGACCUGCGAAACUGGAAGAUGAUAAACUUGUAUGCCUCUAAGCAACUAAAUUUGUGGAAAAUGUUACAGCAGCAACCAGAAACUAAUAUAAUAUCUGAGCAGAAAAGAUAACCUAAUCACUAUUUAGACAUUAAGAAGUAUUAAAGGCAUUAAAAACAUUAAAAAAAAUAUGCUCUGGGUUAGUUUACAUAUACACAAAUAUAAAAGAUGGCUGGAGACAAUCUUGAAUUAAGAAUAUUCUACUCUAAAACCAUCAUUUGCUAGAAAAAUACAUUCCCUCCAUAAAGACAGAGUGAAUAUAAUUUAAAAAUGUACUCUACCAAAUUAGUUAGAUAUUCUUGACUCUCUACAGUAGCUCAGGUCACUGCUGAGCUGCAGGUUUGUUCUCCAGCCUGGUGUAGUGAGUUAAGAAACUGGCAUUGCUAUAACUGUCGCAUAGGUUGCAGCUACAGCUCAGAUUUGAUCACUGGCCUGGGAAAUUCCAUAUUGUGCAGGUGAGGCCAAAAUAAUAAUAAAAAUUUGUUUAAUCUCCAGAAAGUAACCUAAAAUUACCUAUCAAGACACACCAAAAGUACAUUUCAAGAAGUCUGGCUAACCAUUAGUUUUGAAUGAAUUCUGAGAAAAAUGCUAUUAGUGUUAAACCAAGCUACAUUAAUAGAAAUGACGUGUCUAGAAUGAAAAGGAAACUACCCCCUUGCUAUUCCCUGAACAGUCAAAAUCUAAAGAGUGUCUUGUUGAAUGUUUUGAUGAUUUCUGGUUGAAUUUUACUGAACACAAAUGAAAACAAUAAUGUGCUUUUUAUGUGUGCUUAUUCUAGACAGACUAGUCAAAUUAAAACUAUUUCCGUUUUCAAAGUAAAACAAUAGAAUCCCAUAUUUUAAAGAGGAUUUUCAGACAUUUGGAAUAGACAAGAUUGCAUAGGUAUGUUUUUCUCCAUUACUCCCAUGCUAAUAUAAUUAUAACUCAGAAAUAAUGACAGAGAUUAAAAAAAAUUUAAAUGAAGAAGAGCUCUGAGAGGUAGUAAGCAGAAAUCAAACUGGUUAGGGACCUUGGGAGUGGAACUUCGUGGGCCAGGGAUGGAACCUGUUCCAUAGCAGUGAUGAUAGCCAUUGCAGUGACAAUGCCAGAUCCUUAACCCAUUGUGCCACAAGGGAACUUUCCAGACCCAAGAAGCCAGACACAUUGAUAAGAGGAAUCAGCUAAAAGCCUUGCUAACCCUCAGUAUCUAGAAAAGGUACUCUCCUUUCAUACCAUGCAAGAUACUCCCUCCAAAGCAAUAGAUACCAAGGUGGGUUGCAAGACCAGGAGUGGGGAAAGCAGCAAAACUGACCCUGUGAAGAGAGUGGAAAAAUAACAUCACAGACUGGGAGAAAGGAUUUGCCAACUAAAUAUCUGAGAAAGACCUCUCAAACUCAGCAGUAAAAAAAUAAAUAAAUAAAUAAAUUUAAAUGCAAUUAAAAUGACAAAUUAAAAUCCAAAUAGUGAAAAGUUAAAACCCAGUGAAAAAUGGGAAGUGUCUCAUGGGGAUGGAGUUUACUUGGAGAGAUGGAAAUGUUUUUGAAUUAGGUGGAGAUGGCCAUUGCACACCAUGAUGAGUGUACUAAAUGCUACUGAAUGGUGUGUUUUAAAAUGGUUAGUUUUAUGUUGUGUGAUUUUCACCUCAGUAAUUAUUCAAAAUAAAAAUUUUAAAAGUGGAAAAAUAUAUGGAGAGACAGUCCACUGAAGAGGCUAUCUAAACAAUAAAUGAGCUCAGGAAAAGAUGUUAGACAUGUUUAGCUAUUAGGAAAAUGAAAAUACAAACCAUGAAGAGUUACCAUAUACCUAUCAGAAUGGCUAAAAUUAACCAAAAAACAAUGACACUAUCAAAGGCUGACAAAGAUGUGAGAAUCUGGAUGACUCAUACAUCAUUGGUGGGUAAUAUAAAAUGGUAUAAGCCCUCUGGAAAACAGGUUGUCAGGUAUUGAAAUUACCAUACAACCCAGAAACUCACACUUGAGCAUUUACCCCAGAGUAAUAAAAUCUUAUUUUCAAUAAAAAAAUUCUCAAGAAUGUUUACUGAAUCCUUACUGUAACAGCCAAGAACUGGAAAUAGCUAUCCUGUCUUUCAAUAGGUAAACAGUUAAAAAAUAUGUGAUCCAUCCAUAUCACGGGAUACUACUCAGCAAUAAAAAGCAUUCAAAUUGGUCGAAUGUCCAGGGAAUUAAGUUGAGCAGAAAACAAACAAUCCUGCAGGUUACCUACUGUGUUAUUCCCUUUAGAUAACAUUUUUGAAAUGACAGAAUUUUUGAAGUAGAGAAAAGAUUCCCAGUUUCUAGGCGUUAGGGCUGAGAGUGAGAGUGGCAUUUGGAAAAAGCCUAUGAGGGAGAUGAGUGUGGCCAUAAAAGCAACAUGAGGGAUCUCUGUGAUGAUGGAACUUCUUAAUAUCUUGACUCUAUAGCGGUGGCCACAUGAAAUAAAAUCGUAUAGAAAUAUACAUGCAUAUAUGUGCAAACACAGAUAAAUACACAUAAAAUUGAGAAAAUCUAAAUAAGAUCAGUGGGUUUUAUCAAUGCUAGUAUCCUAGUGAUGAUAGCACAGUUUUCCAAAUGUUCCCAUUUAGGAAAACUGGUCAGAGUACAGGGGAUUUCUCUAUAUUAUGUCCCAGACAGCCAUGUGGAUCCACAGUUAUCACAUGAAAUUUUCAAUAAAAAUGAACACUGCAUUGUAAGUCACCUAUACUCUAAUAAAAUUUAUAAAAAAUAAAAAUAAAAAUUAAGUACAGUGAGACCAUGUUCAAAGGAAAUGAAAAUUAUGAUGUAUAUAAAACACAGUGUAGUGACUGCCUUUUUCUUUAAGACCUGAAAACUAAAUAAGUUUGAUUUAGUUUCUUAGAGAUAAUUCUAUAAAAUAGACACAUAAUAUUUUCUGCUUAUAGAAAUCAAUGAUGCUUCUAUUUUUUUUAUUUAUAUUUAUUUUAUUUUUUGUCUUUCUGGCAAUUCUUGUACCGCUCCUGCAGCAUUUGGAAGUUCCCAGGUUAGGGGUCGAAUCAGAGCCAUGUUGGCCUACAUCAGAGCCACAGCAACGUGGGAUCCAAGACGUGUCUGCAACCUGCACCAUAGCUUAUGGCAUCGCCAGAUCCUUAACCCACUGAGAGGCCAGGGAUCAAACCCACAACCUCUGGGUUCCUAGUCGUAUUCGUUAAUCACUGAGCCAUGACAGGAACUCCCAAUGAUGCUUCUAAAGUAACUUGUUUUAGUUAAAUUUUAACUAGUGAAUUUAACAAAAAAAGUAACAGACUCACAGAUAUAGAGGAACAAACUAAUGAUUACUAGUGGGGAAAGGCAAGAGGAAGGGCAAGCUAGGAGUAGAGGAUGAAAAGGUCCAAACUACCAUGUAUAAAAUAAGUAAGCUAUAAGGACAUAGUGCACAACACAAGGAAUAUAGCCAAUAUUUUCUAACCAUCUUAAAUGGAGUAUAACCUUUAAAAAUUGUGAAUCACUAUGCUGAAUACCUGAAAUAAUAAUACCUUGUAUAAUAUUGUACAACUAUACCUCUAUGAAAAAAUAAUAUAUUUCCUUAAGAAGUGAAACUAUGUACACUGGAAUCUUAAGUAAAUAAUUUCGCUCAAACUCUUUAGGCUCCUACUUACCCCCAUGAGAGGCCCCCUUGAUCAAUAAAGUUGAACACAGAACAAGUUUGUAUUCAAACUAAGGUACAUCUGAAUAAAUGGGAACCAAAAUAAGCAAAGUUUAUAAUGGGUUAAAGUUUCCCCUAGUAUUUCUUGUUAGUGCCUUCUUAUUUGGAACUAUUAUUUAUUACUUUUAUGUAGUUUCCUUUACUUUUUCUAGCAGCUAUGUGUGACAAAUAGAUUUUUCUCUGUGUACUUAUUUUAGAAGUUAUUUAAUGAAAAGAAUAUGAACAUCUGAAUUUUCAGCUUAAGCAUCAUUCAAUAUAUGAUGUAAAACUGAGGGUUGGUGACUUAGAGUAAUUUGAAGUAGUGUCUAAAUUUGUGUCUUCACUCAUCACUUUACUGGUCUUGAUGGAUCUGCCCAUUAGUUUGAUAAAAGGAAAAUCAGUACCUAUAAGCGAUAAUUUUACCUUUAUAUGACAUUUGCUAUGGGUAAUUGUUUACUUAACAGCGAAUACAAGUUACAUAUUUCUCAGGGUAUGAUUUUGAUUUCUCUCAGCCCAUCUUUUUUUUUUUGGAGUCUAUAUUAACAGAGAUUUAUGCACUUUUCUGUGGUUAACUGAUGUAUCUGUCAUUUAUUUUAGGUACAUACCACAGGAAAUAUUUGAAAUAUAACUAUGGGAGUUCCCAUGAUGAUGCAGUGGAAACGAAUCUGACUAGGAACCAUGGGGUUGUGGGUUCGAUCCCUGGCGUCUUCAGUGGGUUAGAGAUCAGGCGUUGCUGUGAGCUGUGGUGUAGGUUGUAGACACAGCUCGAAUUGGGUGCUGUGGCUGUGGAGCAGACCAGCAGCUGUAGCUCCAAUUAGACCCCUAGCCCAGGAACCUCUAUAUGCCACAGGUGUGGCCCUAAAAAGACAAAAAAAAAAAAAAAAGAAAGAAAAGAAAAGAAAUAUAACCAUAAAGAAUUAAGUUAUUACUGGUUUAUUUCUUAUUCAGCAUUCUUAAUAUCACACAGUGGUUGAAAUGUUAUUUUCAUAAUAGCUUCACCAGUCACAUGACACAAGUAUUGUGCAUUACCCAUAUUUGGAGCAAAGUUAUGCUUCCUUUCAUUUAAAUAUGCGAUCCAGUGAUGGACACGAUUCUUUGUGCAUGAAGAUUGGUAAGGAAUAUAGACAUAUGACUAAUAAAGACAACAUUUCUACUUAAUUGUUAAUUAGCAUAAAUUCAAUAUAAAUAUCCUUUUUGUUUUGUUAGAUUUAAAUUAUGAGCAUUCAAAAGCCAGCUCUAUUAGAGAAAGGGCACUUUUCCAGGAGUCUGAAAAAUGAGGACUCCAAUCCUGGGAUUG